This 255-nucleotide ribosomal RNA is filed under the name uncultured bacterium. Its description in RNAcentral is "partial 16S ribosomal RNA". It matches the Rfam family "Bacterial small subunit ribosomal RNA", at positions 524 to 777 of the family's 1533-position model. The record is from RNAcentral.
UACGAAGGGGGCUAGCGUUGCUCGGAAUUACUGGGCGUAAAGCGCACGUAGGCGGAUCCUUAAGUCGGUGGUGAAAUCCUGAAGCUCAACUUCAGAACUGCCUUCGAUACUGGGGACCUUGAGUUCGGGAGAGGUGAGUGGAACUGCGAGUGUAGAGGUGAAAUUCGUAGAUAUUCGCAAGAACACCAGUGGCGAAGGCGAACUCACUGGCCCGAUACUGACGCUGAGGUGCGAAAGCGUGGGGAGCAAACAGGG